GUGGGCUGUUAAGACGCUGAAAAACCAGGGUGUGGACCAAGCUGGCUAAGGCUGAGUGGACCCAAUGUGGUGCUGGAUUUGACGGAGGUUUUACCUAGGCCCUCAUUAUAUGCUCAUUAACAUACUAAAUCACACACCCGCCAGUGCCAUGACAGUUCUGAGACCAAUAUUUGAUGUAAAAAUGGAUGGCACCACAGUUCCGAGAAAUCUCCACCUUUACCCAGGAAUUUUCAUGAACAUUCCACUCCUUGGUUAAAGAAACCCAUCAAGAUGAAACCCCAGAAUCCAUUGUUCUCUCUUGGGUAUGCCUGAACUCCCCUUUCUUGAGUGUGUACUUUUUGCUUUGCAAUAAAUCUCUUCUUUCACUAUC
This 370-nucleotide long non-coding RNA is filed under the name Homo sapiens (human). RNAcentral's name for it is "HSALNT0002343". The record is from RNAcentral. Lineage: Eukaryota; Metazoa; Chordata; Mammalia; Primates; Hominidae.